This 504-nucleotide ribosomal RNA is filed under the name uncultured bacterium. Its description in RNAcentral is "bacterial SSU rRNA". It matches the Rfam family "Bacterial small subunit ribosomal RNA", at positions 8 to 523 of the family's 1533-position model. The record is from RNAcentral.
AGAGUUUGAUCCUGGCUCAGGAUGAACGCUGGCGGCGUGGAGAAGGCAUGCAAGUCGCACGGUCCCGACGCAAGUCGGGAUAGUGGCAAACGAGAUAGUAAUACAUAGAUUAUCUACCCUCGUCACGGGGAUAACCCGGCGAAAGCCGGACUAAUAACCGAUGGCCUCGUUUCGCAAGAUAAUGAGUAAAGGCGCAAGCCGGACAAGGAGGAGUCUGUGCAAUAUCAGCUAGUUGGUAAGGUAAUGGCUUACCAAGGCUAUGACGUUUAGGGGGGGUGAGAGCCCGAUCCCCAUCGAUGGCACUGCGACACGGGCCAUACACCUACGGGUGGCAGCAGUCGAGAGUCUUCCACAAUGGGCGAAAGCCUGAUGGAGCGACGCCGCGUGAAUGAUGAAGGGCUUCGGCCUGUAAUAUUCUUUUCUCCGUGAGAAAUCCGAGUCAAAUCGGUAUGAUGUUAGCGGAGGAAUAAGGGGUUGCUAAACUCGUGCCAGCAGCCGCGGUAA